AUGCAUCUAAGCGUGAAACUCGCUCCAAGAUGAGAUCUCCCUUCCGAGUAAUCGGAACUGAAGGCUCCUCGGAGAUUACGAGGUAGAUAGGCAGGAAGUGGAAGUCCGGCAACGGAUGCAGCUGACCUGUACUAAUCGGCCGGGCGGCUUGAUCAU
Molecule: ribosomal RNA, 156 nt
Filed under: Nitrospinota bacterium
Lineage: Bacteria; Pseudomonadati; Nitrospinota
Description: partial 23S ribosomal RNA
Rfam family: Bacterial large subunit ribosomal RNA
Source: RNAcentral